This 604-nucleotide long non-coding RNA is filed under the name Homo sapiens (human). Its description in RNAcentral is "HSALNT0375376". Lineage: Eukaryota; Metazoa; Chordata; Mammalia; Primates; Hominidae. The record is from RNAcentral.
AAAUCUGAAAUCAUGAACAAUCGUCAGUUCUUUACAGUCUGAUUUUCAAGGGGACAUAAUGCUCAAACGAGCUUCUCAGGGAGCCACGUGAGGAGGGAGAGACCGGCCCUGGAGGACCCGCAGGCUCACCGCCCCGUGGUGUGGACACUGUGCCUUUCUGCGGACAGAAAGGCCACUCACAGAUUGCACGAUUGCAACCAAGUGCCACAGCCUUUAAAAACAGUCAAGGAAUCGUAAUCCCCAAGAAACAACGGUCUCAGCUACUGUCCAGAAUUUCCAUGGUGCAGAGCAGGACGGGGCAUCUCAGUUGGAGCCCUGCUGACUCCCUAAAUUGAAGAGAGAAAGCUGAGAGCCCAGGGAGGCCACAGUGGCUGGAGUUUGCAGAACAGAGUCCUGCAGAACAGAGUCCGGCAGAGGAGAGAGCUUGGUAGAGAAUGCUGGAGGAUGGCCACAUGCCUAGCAGUUUUCAGCAGAGCAGUGGUGAUCACGUGUACAUGGAGACUAAUUAUGGCCGGGAAAUGACAAGUGAGGUGAAAGUCAUAACAAUAAAUUGAAGCACGCGGAGAGCGCUCUGUUACCUGCCACGGGAGGUCCUGUAGAUCCG